RNAcentral lists this unclassified non-coding RNA (462 nucleotides) under Hevea brasiliensis (rubber tree). Lineage: Eukaryota; Viridiplantae; Streptophyta; Magnoliopsida; Malpighiales; Euphorbiaceae. The record is from RNAcentral.
AAAAAAAAUUUUAGCCAAUGCCAGGGAAGUUCUCCACCUUCGGCUCCUCCGCCAACCUAGAGAAGCACAAUAGAAACUUCAUGGCUUCCCAAGGGAGUUGCCACGGUUUCAGAAAGGGGUUAGGUAUCUCGAGGAUCUCCACUGCGAGGCCACUAAUUUCCUCCACGAUCUGUAGCACUGAGUUCAAUGAUCGAAUUUGCUUUAAGAAUGGGUUUUCUAUACUCGUCACUGGCGUUGUCGAGUCCGUUGGACACACAUUUCUGCACCUUUGAAAUGCUGCAGCGAUGGCAUUCUGUGUGUGGAGAGUGGCGAAUGAGCCAUGAUUUUAAUCGUGGGUGUGGAUUCUGGCAGGGGAUAUAUGAGAUGUGGUGUUUGGAUUUUGUGUCGGAUUCAUCAUCAUUACCACAGGGUAAGCUUGAUGAAGGGGAAGAUGGGUAAAGAAAGAUAAAGUGAAUUAAUAAA